This 726-nucleotide ribosomal RNA is filed under the name Agrococcus terreus. RNAcentral describes it as "bacterial SSU rRNA". It matches the Rfam family "Bacterial small subunit ribosomal RNA", at positions 317 to 1041 of the family's 1533-position model. Lineage: Bacteria; Bacillati; Actinomycetota; Actinomycetes; Micrococcales; Microbacteriaceae. The record is from RNAcentral.
GACUGAGACACGGCCCAGACUCCUACGGGAGGCAGCAGUGGGGAAUAUUGCACAAUGGGCGCAAGCCUGAUGCAGCAACGCCGCGUGAGGGACGACGGCCUUCGGGUUGUAAACCUUCUUUUAGCAGGGAAGAAGCGAGAGUGACGGUACCUGCAGAAAAAGCACCGGCUAACUACGUGCCAGCAGCCGCGGUAAUACGUAGGGUGCAAGCGUUGUCCGGAAUUAUUGGGCGUAAAGAGAUCGUAGGCGGUCUGUCGCGUCUGCUGUGAAAACCCGAGGCUCAACCUCGGGCUUGCAGUGGGUACGGGCAGACUAGAGUGCGGUAGGGGAGAUUGGAAUUCCUGGUGUAGCGGUGGAAUGCGCAGAUAUCAGGAGGAACACCGAUGGCGAAGGCAGAUCUCUGGGCCGUAACUGACGCUGAGGAGCGAAAGCGUGGGGGAGCAAACAGGCUUAAAAUACCCUGGUAGUCCACGCCGUAAACGUUGGGAACUAGAUGUGGGGACCAUUCCACGGGUCUCCGUGGUCGUAGCUAACGCAUUAAGUUCCCCCCCUGGGGGGGUACGUCCGCAGGGUUAAAACUCAAAGGAAUUGACAGGGGGCCCCCCCAUUCCCCGAGACAGAGCGGAUUAAUUCCUAUACAACGCUUAUAACCUUACCAAUGCUUGGGCGUAUUCCAAAAACCGCGCUGGAGACAGCGAACUCUUUGUGACACUCGUAUUCAGGUUG